Molecule: ribosomal RNA, 495 nt
Filed under: uncultured bacterium
Lineage: Bacteria
Description: partial 16S ribosomal RNA
Rfam family: Bacterial small subunit ribosomal RNA
Source: RNAcentral
GACGAACGCUGGCGGCGUGCCUAAUACAUGCAAGUAGAACGCUGGCGGAGGAGCUUGCUCUUCUGGCUGAGUUGCGAACGGGUGAGUACCGCGUAGGUAACCUGCCUGGUAGCGGGGGAUAACUAUUGGAACCGAUAGCUAAUACCGCAUAACAGUAGAUGUUGCAUGACAUUUACUUAAAAGGUGCAAUUGCAUCACUACCAUAUGGACCUGCGUUGUAUUCGCUCGUUGGUGGGGUGACGGCUAACCAAGGCGACGAUACAUAGCCGACCUGAGAGGGGGCUCGGCCACGCUGGGACGGAGACACGGCCCAGACUCCUACGGGAGGCAGCCGUAGGGGAUUUUCGGCAAUGGACGGAAGUGUGACCGAGCAACGCCGCGUGCGUGAAGAAGGUUUUCGGAUCGUAAGGCUCUGUUGUAAGAGAGGAACGAGUGUGAGAGUGGAAAGGUCACACUGUGACGGUAUCGUACCAGAAAGGGACGGCUAACUACGUG